RNAcentral lists this ribosomal RNA (175 nucleotides) under uncultured bacterium. Its description in RNAcentral is "partial 16S ribosomal RNA". It matches the Rfam family "Bacterial small subunit ribosomal RNA", at positions 1325 to 1500 of the family's 1533-position model. The record is from RNAcentral.
GCUGGAAUCGCUAGUAAUCGCGGAUCAGAAUGCCGCGGUGAAUACGUUCCCGGGUCUUGUACACACCGCCCGUCACACCAUGGGAGUCGGGAAUGCCCGAAGCCAGUGACCCAAGCGAGAGCAGGGAGCUGUCGAAGGCAGGCCGGAUAACUGGGUGAAGUCGUAACAAGGUAUC